ACAGCAUAUAAUUUUUGACGGAUGCACGUGCGUAUUUUCGUGCACUACUGACUGGUAUUUUUAAAUGGUCUAUGUGGAAACUUUUGUAAAUGUAAUUGGAUUUUUCGAACUGUUCAACGCUUGGACUAAAUAAAUGCUUGGACUUUAACAUUUGACAGUGUGCUAAAGAUGGAAUGGGCAAUGCAAUGAGUUUUUCGAAAAAGCACUUAAUGAAACCAUAGGAGAUUAUUUUCAAAAUAUCCUUUGGGAAAAGCUGUGAAUAUAAUUACUUUAUUGGUACCGUUUUGCUGUGUCAUCAAAAUGAAAAGAAAGAAGCACAAAACGUUUUUUCUAAAGAAUGCAGAAUUAAUAAACACAAACAAACAAAAAACAAAGAUUUCUUCAUAACAUACCUUCUUAUUCACUUGAGAACAGAAAAUGUUAUUUCCAAGAUGCCACUAUCAAAUUGGAGAAACUCUGUAUUUGUGGCAAGUGCAGAGAUUAACCUUUGGCUUAUACCUUAAAUUUAUAUAUUAUUUAUGCUUUGUGGAUACAAUCGUUGUAUCUCACACGACACGCUCGUCUCAUCAGUCACGCUGGUAUUUUAAACGCCUUGUCUGAAGAAUCGAUUCUUGUGAAGAGUAAGGCUAUUCAAACAGUCGUUAUGGCACUACGAGAUCUGAUGUGAAAAAAUUAAAUUUUAAAGUAGAUAAAUUUUUAUUAUUUUGUGGAAUGAAAAAUUAUUUUUAUAACUGAAUAAAUUAGUCUUCUUAUUGCGUAUUAUAUCUUUAUAUCUACUUAUUUUAUAGAGAACGAAAUAUAACAUGUUUGUACAGGCAAAUAUUUAAUUGGUUAACGAUAUUUUUUGUUUACACGUCCUUUCAGCUAGUAGGAUAGAAAUAAAGAUGUUAAAAUUUAUUUUCCGUUAGCAAAAGUAGUUUCAUUAUUAAUCGCAUAAUUUAAAUUAAGCGUUUUUUUUUUACGAAGAAGUAAUUAGGGCGCGUAGGGUGUGGUUUGGUUUAAAGAGAAAAUUUUUAAUUAUAUAACUUAUUGUUUUUCUUUUUCUUCUAUCCUCCUAGAUCCCUGAGACUUAAAGCUGCUUAUGUUUCUCUGCUUUAGAGAAUCGAAAGUUAAUGUGCUACUUUUAGUCUACAUCUUCGUGCAAAAUUUACUGCAUUAGUCAAAUAUAGUGAAUUCUUGUUAUAUUUUUGCUAUUUUAAUUCCAUUUUAAUCCUACAAACCUCUACUUAGUGUUGCUAGAAAUAUGUUGCUUAUACGAAAAACGUGUAAAAAACCUGGCGAACUGCUAAGUAUUAAUGUUUUUGAUUUAUAGUGGGA
Hydractinia symbiolongicarpus is the source of this 1317-nucleotide long non-coding RNA. RefSeq lists it as uncharacterized. NCBI's taxonomy places the organism in Eukaryota, Metazoa, Cnidaria, Hydrozoa, Anthoathecata, Hydractiniidae. The transcript has 4 exons. The record is from RefSeq and is a predicted model, not a curated record.